UGUGCCCGGCAUGGACUUGGUGCUCACCACGCGGUACUUGCCGCUGGGGUUCCACACCUGGAUGGAGACGGGCUUCGCCAUGGCUGCACCUGCAGAGAGGUUCUCUCUCUCUCUCUCUCUCUCUCUCUCUCUCUCUCUCUCUCUCUCUCUCUCUCUCUCUCUCUCUCUCUCUCUCUCUCUCUCUCUCUCUCUCUCUCUCUCUCUCUCUCUCUCUCUCUCUCUCUCUCUCUCUCUCUCUCUCUCUCUCUCUCUCGCCGGCCUUAUCAGGGGGCGGGCAGACAGGCGCCAGAAAUUUCAUUUUCGUUUUCUCCUCCUUUUAAGAUAGGAAGGGUGGUGGAUAACAGACAAGUGGCCGGCCUUAUCAGCAUUUCCCUUAUCUCCUUGACAACCACGAGUAGACCGUUGGCACAACAACCAGCCAUGGAGGCAAAUCAUCAUAAGAUCCACUUUUAUAUAUGUAUUAUGAGAUAUUAACUAGUAACAAGUCCAGACAGACGAACUAGCACCCACCAGCUUGACAUACAUCCAAUCCAAAAAAGGAUACAACCAUCACGACCAUUAUACUACUAUUUCACUACUAUUUCGUAAGUAGAUAGACUAGCAUUGUAGAGUGCAGUGCAGACAUCCAUCUGUUCUUGUAAAAGAACCACCACCAUCACCAGGGAAAGGAAGACAACAAUCACUCGAAGGCCCACUGGUUCUCCAUGCGGAUCUCAUCCUCCUCCUCUUGGGUGAAGUCGUUCUUGAUGCUGAAUGUCUUGCGGAUCUCCUCCGGAGUCUUGCCCUUGAUCAUGUCAGCAACCGUCUGGCAGGUCAGGUCCAGCAAUCCCUUGAUGUUCAGAUAGUUGGCAGCCUGAAAAUACAGUUCCAUUAUGUCAACCAGCAAUGGCAGAAAAUAACACAAAUCACGUCCAAUUACAUGUGGAUUGAAGUGUAUUGGAAUGAAUUUGGAUGGAUUUAAACCGACUCAAUACCACCCAAUCCACGUGGCGGUCAAACGAACAAUCCCCAAAGUGUGCAAAAGUCGCAAGUACAAGCCAAAUUCUGUCUGACUAGCUAGUUAAAUUAUCUCACUGCAAACCAAAUAUCAUCCCCGCCUGUAGCUAGCUUGAUACGGGUGCAUUGUUGUUACGAAUAAUAGCAACAGCAUGAUUUAUCAACAGUGUUCCUAGCCACAUCACAGUUUUUGUGGUUGAUUGAUUCCAGAGCAGCAGGGGCUAGUACAACAUCUCUUAUGAGAUAAAAAAAAUUGAUUGGUUACGGACCUCCACCACGACGCACAACCAAUCAAUCAAUAUAUACUGAUCUAAUCCGAACCCUAGAAAGACAGUAGCAGAUCUAAUCUAACCUAUACAUAGACAGGAAUCGCAAAAGAAGCAAGGGGAGGGGAGGUUACCGACCAGGAUGAGGUCGAAGAGCGUAGCCUGGUCCACCUUGACGAACUUCGCGUCCCAGCUCUUGAGGUCCUCGCCGCCCUCGGAGGCAGCGGAGUCAGCGGGUUUGGCGGCGGCGUGGACGUGACUGUUGCAGUACUCGAUGACCUUAGAGAGGAUCCUGGAGUUGACGUUGGGGAGCGGGAUGCCGUUGUCGGCGCAGUCGUCCUCGAUCAUGUGGCGGAGAGUCUGCGACUCCAUGGCCACCGCUUCCUCCACCUCGAACUCCUCUAAGUCGGAGCUCCUGAGCGUGAUCAUCCUCUUGUUUUCGCCCUCGGACGCCAUCGAUGGAUCGACGAGAGAUGAGGCGACGAAACCCUAGCUAGUUGCAGCGAUUUGAUCUGUGAUGGUCGAUUGCGAGGGAAACGCCUCUCCUGACUACUUUUCCUUCGAUUCGCCUGCCCUGCCCUCUUUAGUUUGGCCUCAUAAGUUAUUUAUGAAAGGUAGCCGGCAAUGAACAGAUUUAGAGGUGUUUGAAUGCACUAGAGCUAAUAGUUAGUCGCUAAAAUUAGUUAAGACAUCCAAACACUCUAGCUAAUAGUUUAGCUAUUAGCUAUUUUUGAUAAAUUAAUUAAUAGUUAGAUAGUUAUUUGUUAGCUAUCUAAUUCUACUAACAAUUUUUAGUCAACUAACUAUUAGUUCUAGUACAUUCAAACACUCCAAAUCUAAAAUAAAUUAUAUUUUAAGAUGGUGUGAGUAUUAUAUUAAUUAUCUUAUAUAAUAAUAAUUAUAAUAACCAAAUUAUCCUGCACCUAUGAUUAUAUAUAUAGUUAUUAUUAUUCAUUAUAAUUUGUUUUUUAGAAUAAUAUUUAUUUUAGGAUAUUAGUAUAUGCAUUCUAGAUUCAUUGUUAUCCAUUUAAAUAUGGACAUAAAAAUAAAAGCUAGAACGGACUAAGUAUAUUUUAUCGUGGUGUAGGAAUCCUCAGUAAUAACACUUAGACAGUCAGUAGUUUACUCAUAGUUUAAUUAAAACAUUAUUUAUAGAUUACACUAUUCGUAGAGUUUAAUAGUAGAGUUUAAAUGUAGAGUAGAGUUUAAUAGUUUACUUAAAACACUAUUUAUAUACUUUUCUGCACUAUAAACUACACUAUUGUAGAGUUAAAUAUAAGUAGGAUGGGUAAGCUACUAAAGAUAGUCUUGGGUACAAACAAUUCUCAUGCUGCCGAUUCUUGCACUUUAUUUUUUUCUGUUUAUAGGGCCAAAUUUUGUUAUUCUCUCCAUAAGAAAAAACUGUGGCCAUGACCAGAUGAGCUAUCCGCGACUAGUAGUAUAUAGCAUACACUCCCUUUUGUGUAUCCUGCUACUGCCAGUGCUCAAAGAAAAAAAACAAAUGGUACACCGGGACACAUUUAUUAAUGGUCAGUCAUCACAGAUGUAGAUGUUCUUGUUACAGAUAACAAUUCUGGAACAAAAAAUCCCUUUUAUUUACAUGUACUGAAACAAACGGGGGUUCUUGUUGGCGCACAUCCUCACUCAAGGCGCACAUCCUCAAUUACUAUAGCUUAGCCUGCCCAAUGGAAACAGAUCAUGGUAGAGAAACCAAAAUCUGUUAAACUUCCUCGAUGACAAAAGCUGUAGAUUCAUAAUUGCAGGUGACAAGGGCAACCCUCGAAGAGAAUACAGUAGCUGAACAAAUGUAAAAGAAGGGAGAAAUCGACAGCAGCACCUGCAUCCGAGUGAGGACUGGGGCUCUCGCCCUUGAAGCCGUUUGCUGAGUGAGCUGGUAACCUCAACUCAGUGUUAUACAUGGACCAAGAAACUAAAUCUCCAGAAUAAAACUGACCCCUGUAUGUUAGUUCGGAUAUUGUAUAUUUCUUAUGAAAGAUCAAAUGAUCCUCGGCCUUCCAGGAUCGCAUAAAGCAACUUCUUGCGCAUGAUUUCCUGUCCAAACAAUAGCAACAGCCCGUCAGCAGGAACCAUCAGAAUGUCAAGCUGACUUUUUAGUGAUAAAACAGCAAGGACACUGUACUUUUGUGGAGUAGGGGGGCAGCUUCAGAUAAUUGGCGCACGUCAUCACACUAGGCAAAUCAUCAUCAGCGGACUCUACUGCCCCAGUUGAAUUUGAAGUAUUCACAGCACUUGAAGGAUGCUGGCAAUAAUCAAAACACCGAGUUACCCCAAAAAUAACAUCAAGCAGAAUAGGUGUGCACAUGUCAUUAUAGCAAAUGCCACGAUAGAUAGACCAUGAAAAGGUACCUUCCUAACUAUAGUAAGCUUGGGGCUAAGGGCAGCCAAUCCACCAUGUGGAAGCCGAGGAGCACCGGUUACAAACUGGCAGAACGCAUGCUGCUGCUCAGGGGUGAAUUCUGACAAAAUCUCGAGUAGCUACAAACAAGAGCAAGAAUCAAGGAACCACACUUCUCAAAAACCACAACUGGAUGUAUGUAAGAGAUGUAGCAUGUGAGGACGAAUGAGCUUACAUUCACGAUCGCAGGACUUUUAGCAGUAUAUCCAUGAUCAAAUUUUAUGUUAUCCACCAGGGAUUCCGACUGCAGAUUCCAAGGUUUAUUUAGUGCCACACUUUUACAUACAUUAACUUGGAUAAAAAGGACAGAACAUUACCUCCCAAAUUUCUUGUCGACCACAUAUUAGAUAGUCAAGUUCUUGAGGUGAAAAUAUGUGGAGGGAUGACAUGUCAAACACCUACGAAACAUUAAAAUAAACAAGAACUAUUAGAGUAAACUGAACUACACAAAAUCAGAACAAGUAGAAUUAUUAUAAGAUUGUGUUAGAGCAAUGCCAAUGAGGCUGUACCUGAUUAAACCCUGAUCUAAAUGCCUCAACCUGUCGCUUUAUCCCUGACUUAACUGUAGCAUCCACCACCAAAGUAAUAUACUCUUCUAAAUUAUAAAUAUUAACCUGCAGAUGAUACUAACAGAUUAAAACAUACAAAGUGAAAUCACCAAGAUAAAUACACGCUAAUAUGGAACUUCAUCACUUACAAUUGUGCCUCCUUCACCCUCUUUAAGCACAUAAUCAGGAUAACCUGGAAGAGUAAAAUCUAAACACAAAUCUUCAAUAGAAGCGCCAUGGAAACACAAAUCUGCAACUUGUAGCUGGUUCUUGCCAGAAGUGGAUUCAAGGAACUGCUUUCGUUCAACAAGAACUUGCAGUUCUUGCAAUGUCUUCCCAAACUCAGAAUCAAAUGACACUAUGUCAAACAAAUCAAGUUCCUGGCCAAUUGCAACACAUUAAGUCGUGAAAAGUGAAUACAAACAACUAAUUAAUACAUAAAACAAAGCAAAACAAAAUGAAAGCAAAGCACUUGGAAAUAGAGCUUCUCUGUACAUACCUGUCCAAGUAUAAGCUUAUAAAACGCUGUUGAUAAAGGCAAAUCUAAAAGUCUGCCAUCUUGCAGGACUUUUGCGAUCACUUGACCUAUUAAGCGGAAAUACUCCAAAACUUUGAAGAAUCUGCUACCUUCUGAAGUAUCAACUUUAGGUGGCCAAGGUCGAGGGAACAAUCCAAGAGGAGCUUGUAUCAAAUACAUGCCAUCACCUGGUAGAUCUGUGUUGAGUUCUUUUCCUGACGACCCAUCUUCAGGAUCUAAACGGAUCACAUCCUUCAUAUCAGUGUGCAAUCCUGAAUCAUAUGAAGAAGUAGCUCUCCAUAAUCCCAGUUGAGCACAUUGUAGUUCAUGGCUUAAGAGAGUAUAAAACUCUAGAGUAGGCCCCAGCCCAGUUCCAACUUCGCCAAAGUAUUCCACCUCAAGAACAGCCCUCUGACUGGAGAACAUCUCCAUAACUUUAGCAGCAGAAUCUAGAAUACGGUUACGGGAAACACGAACUUUCUGGCGUUGUAACCUGCCAAACCUGACCUCUCUUUCACCACCAGAGCUGUGAUUAUCACUCUGCUGUUGCUGGAGUCGAUUCAAUGCUCGUGACAACCCAAAGGCUGUGGAAUAGAAGUACUGCCUCCUUGUCUCAAAAGGAAACAGGAAUGGGCAGGCCUUGGUCAUUUGAUAACACCAAGAAGGUAAACUGCCACUACAUAGUGCGAGAACGUCCUGCAUUUGCCGAGCAAGCUUUGGUGUUAACUUGCUAUUGACAAACACUUCAGAAGGUACCUUGGCUCCAGUUCUAUAUAACUCAUCCAGGGUAUUGAUUUUUCCCUCAGCAAAAUCAUCAGAUGCUCCCUGUACUCUUAAACGAGGGGAUAACUGAUUAAGCCCCUCAAGUAUACGCAAUAAUGCUAAAAUGUUGUACGUUGAGUUUGUCCUCUCAAGAUCACAAGGAAGUUCUCCUUGUAAGAUGCUAUCAAGAAGAGAAACCCCUUGUGCUUCAGAAAUGGACCUGUAAGAAUCUGAUUUUAUGUUUAAUGAGGUGGAAGUCCCUUGGCAACCCUUCUCAACUUGGUUAUCAGCCUUCUGGUACGUUAUUGUGAACACAUCACCCCAGAAGCGGUUUCCAUCAUUUGGUAUAUCAGAUCCAUUAAACCUUUCUUCAUCAUCCUCGUCGAGCAUAAGUUGACGUUGGAUAGCUUGAUAUACAGUCAAAUGUUUGUUAAGCUGCUUGCCACCAGCAGUGAAUAUAAGUUUAUUGUGAUCAUUCAUGCUACCUCCAAGUGACAGACCACGCCGAUCUCGGACACCUCUAACACUGCGACCACCAACAGAAGCCAGACCAGCCAUCGUCGCAGCAACAAAUGACAUUGCACCUCGUGAACCGAAUGUGCCCAUACUUCGAAAUUCAGUAGAAUCCGGUCCCCUGCUAGAAGUGUUUCUAGCCCCAGAACCAGAUGAUGGCUGUGCAUGGCUAAAAGUAGCUGAUCCAAUGUUAGAUUCAUCGGCAUCACCCAGUUUCACGUCAUGCACACCAUCUUGAGAACAGAUUGGAAGAGACCCUUCUUGGAGAACCUAAGAAUUUGGAGAGGUUAUUAAAUUAGUCAAGUAAGGGCACAAAUGAUCAUCUUGGACCAACUAAAAGGUUAUUUUUGUCAUAAAGUAAAUAAAUAUAAGCAUGGUACUAAAUAGCGUUAGUAGCAACCGCUAUGGCGUCCGCAAAAAACGGUAGCGGUCUCUUACCGCUACCACUAUUUGAGGUUGGAACUUAGCGGCUGCUAUUUGAGGUAGCAGGCUGUUAUAGUGCUCCGCACUUCUUCAUAGUGUCCACAAUAGUGUUGUAUGAUAUACAACAAAUAACCCUAUCCCAUUUUAACUAUCAUGAAACUAUUGAGGUUACUACUUCUGACAUGACAAUGAAACAUGAUUUUAUGACUAUUUUACGGCUAUCAAAAUAUAUUUCUUUGUAGACUCCAGUCCAAUGUGUGAUGACUUAUAUGUAAUAUGUUGAAUAUCAUGUUCCUUUAUUUAAUUUAAAGUAUGUGAGAGUGAGACAUCGAUUUCCACAUGCCUCAACCUUAAUUUGUGGCUUCCGAUGGGUUUCAACUCUAGCCUACCCCAACUUGCUUGGGGCUAAAAGGCUUUGUUGAUAAUAAUGAUGUGAGACAUCACUUAUCUAAGUAUAAUUAAUUAAACGUCUAUUAAAUUAAUAUUAAUGAUAUAUAUAUACAUAAAUUUAUGUUUGAUUAUUAUAUACUGCUAUUGGAACUUAGCGGUCCGUAAUAGCACCUGACAUCCGCAACAUCAAACUGCUAUGAACCCAUGCUAUUUAGUACCUUGAAUAUGAACCUAAGCAACUACGGAUGGUUGCAACGAAGCAAAAAAAAGAGUGGGCAUUCAAUUUUCAAACAGUUACCUCAUGAUCAUCGUCGUCAUCAUCAUCAUCAUCUGAAAUGUCAUCAUCAUCAAUCAUCAAAGCAUCAUCGAUCUCAACAGGAGAUGUGUCGAGCUCUUCAUCCUACAUAUACCAACAUAGAAUGUAUUUACUUAUCAGUUACCAUGCUUACACUCUCAACUAGAAAAUGAGCCUACUUCUUGAUCAUUAUCCUAAUAUUUUUUAGAUUGGCACAGUUUUGAACUCACAAAAUCAUGUUUACAUAUUAUGAGGGUAAUAUAAAUUAAGAACUAGAUCCGCGGCUAAAAUUAUCAUGUUCAUUUGGCGCCCAAGCCAUGAGCUUUAUAGGUGGCACCAAAUAUGACACCAGAGAAGUGGAUGUGUGUUAUGGACGCUAAAUCGGUGAGGGAUUAGAGAGGGGUAUCGACGGGCAGGAACGUCGGCCGAGGGCCUCUGCCCACGGCCGAGCAAGAGGAGGGUUUCUCCCUUCUAAUUCUUGCCUAAUUUAUUUCUUAUCCAUUGAUUACAUAAAUAGACCGGGUGGCCGCCCUUGUCUAGCUUGAGACCUUUAUCUCCUUAAAACUCUCCUAAAAACUCUCAACAAACUAACUGAUAACCUUCCUAGAUAAUCUCAACUAAUCUCCUAAAUAAUCUCAACUAAUCUUCUAAUCUUAUCUCUAACUAUCAUUAUCUAAUCCCCCUUGGAGGGCCCAUGGCUGCUGCUGCCGCAGCCCCUCCGUGGGCCUCCUUAGGCCCUGACAAUGCGACUUUUGAGAAGAGCUGCUACCCAACUUGAAUAGAAACAGUAACUUUUCUUUGCAAGCCAAACUAACCAGGAAUGAGGCAUGUAAACAAAAAAAAUACCUCAGAGCUACUGUGGCCAUGUGCCUGCUUCAUUUCCAAAUCUUUCUCUGAAGCAGAUUUUUGGUGGGCAGCAUUCCUUGUAUUAGGUCCUUUUGAUUCAUCUGAGUUUGGCUUUACAAUAGCUUUUCCUUUUCCUUUGGCAGUACUAGUGCUUUCAUCAUGAGAAUCCUUCUUAGAUGUAAGACCACCUGCAGCAGAUGACUUUGAUCUUGUUGUUGGGCGCCGACCAGAUUGAGCCAUUGCAGCUGUUAAUGAUGCACCAGCCGUGGUGCCAGGAACCCCAGAUUCAGAAUUAUUACCAGAUGGAAUUAUAGGCUUCGAUGCAACCUCACUGCGUUGAACUCUAGGCCAAAGGAAUUCUUCAACAGAUGCAAGACUAGCAAAUGGGUCGAUAAGCACAAUAUUUGAUGAAUAAUCCCGAAGUGAUUUUUCGCCUUGAGCUCGGGAAAGACGAAGCUUGAAGGGUUGAGCCAGAGCACUAAGACCUGAAGUCAGACGAGACCCUCCAAUACCAAUCCUACUAGACUGGCUGAGCACAACAGGGAAACGUUCCAGCGAAGACAAUGCACUUUGCAGUUUCUGAACCAACAGUGCCAUGGGAGUUUCAUCUCGUCCAUGAUCAAUAGAAAGGGCAACAGAUAUGAAGGUUUUGUAUCGUCUAAGGGCCUGCUGACGAAGCUGAGAUAGGUUUCCUUCAGAUACCUUUUCCUUCCCAAAUGUCCCACAGGACAAAUAGUCAAGCAAUGCUAUGACAACACCACUUCUAAUGAAUUCAAAUGUGGAAACACCAUUAACUUUGCUAAGCUCAGAGAGCAUUUCAGAUAUUAUUUUGUCUAAUUGUUCUUCAACAUCAAUUGAGAUGUCCAAAAAAUUAGUGCUUAUAGCUUUUGAUUUCCCUUUUGCUUUUGUUUUGACGUUCUCAGAGACAGUAUUCAACUUUGCACAGAGUGCCCUCAGUUUAAGAAGGUCAUCAGUAAACCCGAUAUCACUUGAAUCAGUAUCCGCCGGAAAGUAUUUAUCUUUGAAAGACUUUGCAUGGUCACUAACUGUGAAACGAAGGCUGGUGUUUGGAGCUUCUGAAGCGGUUGCUGUUGAGCACAUAACACCAAGGUUGGAACUAUUUGAUUCAUCCAAUGAACUAUUUUCUGCUGCAACAGCACCCGCACGCCGGCGUUGACGUCUAGAACGUGAUGGCAUGGCAGAAUCUUUAUCUUUAUCCUGAGGUGGCACCUGAGAAGGCAUUUUGUUGGAAGAUUCUGAACAUAUGAGUGACUCCACAGCAUGAACGACACCUUCCCUCACAAAUAACUUGGAAAAUGUCUCUGGAAGCUUUUCCAUCAUUAUUUCUGCUAUCUGAAGAGCAGGAAUCAACACUUGAGGAUCUUUCCAUGCAAGAAUGCCCGCAAGGAAGCUGCAGAUAGAAAUGAAAUAACUUAGAAGGGAUUGGAAAAGAAGUAUGUACAUUGAGACUUGAGAGACUUUCUUUUUGUCUUUUAACAUCCAUUGUUCUGAAAUCAUUCUCUAGAAAUGAACUGAGAAUUUUUUCGGUUCUAUUAAUGAAACAUGCAUCUCUUUUGUGUGUUCCAGGUGAGAGAGAGAGAAAACCUGGAUAUGUUUGUUGUGCCAAGGAGAGACUGGAUUGUUUCGGCGGAGCUGUAGUACAUUAAUUUUCCAAUGAUAGAUAAACACUUGUGACGUAUUGGUGCAUUUACACUAGAACCAUACACCUGAACAAGCACACAGGCUAUUAAAGUACACAAAGACAAAACACAAAUAGCAAUUGAAAUGGCUGUCAGGACUCAGGAAAAGAAUUCCAGCACUAACCUGUGUCAUUGUGGGUAACAAAUCCAUACCAAACUGUUGUAAAAGCUCAGGUUGCUCACGCAAUAGCCUCUCACGGCCAGACCUUUCAUUUCCUGUUGAACCACCCCCCUCUUGUUUGAUGGAAGCAGAUUUCUUUGUUGAAGAGCCUUUAUAUGUAUGGUAAUAUGUUGGUAACUUAAUGAUUCUCGCAGGGAUAUGCGGAAGCAAAUCAUCGGCAAGGCUCACAAUCUCAAACAUCUGCAAUAUUUGGGGUAAACAUAUGAAAAACAUUUGUACAACAAAAAACAUACAGGUGCAUGAAACUGAUGAGUCAAACAGUGUGGGUUUCAAGAAUUAAUGUUUCAGCAGCUAGGUGAGAAGAUACAGCAGCUGUUGCAGACGAUCAUACUCAAAAAAUGCCAGACUCGUGUGUGUAUGUACCACAAAUGAUUUUAGCAAUUAAGCAAGACAGCAACAAGCAGAAGCUGAGAUGGCAUUAUAUAUUCAUACUCAAUUGUAUAGCAUGGAAAAAAAACUCUUCGAUCUGUACCAUACCAAAUGCGAUUGACCAAAAGCACAAUUUACUUGCACCACACUAGGAAGAAAAUAAGACGACAAGAAUCACAGCAGCUACUUAAUCCAAAUGAGAUUUUGCUCUAUCAUAUUACAAGUGAGACUUUUGUUCCCCUGUGUGCCAUAAAUCAACAUUUUCUGCUUCAUUAAAACAUUUCAAAAGACUUACUCAGGCAAUAUAAAAGCACAACGAAAGUAUGCAGGCCUUUGAAAAUACUAGUUCACUGCUCUUUUGAAUGAUUAUUUGCAUGGUUUAAGAAGACGAGCACAAUUCCCGACAUUUUAGCAUCUAUGUUCAAUGCUCAAAAAAAUCACCCAAACAAUUGCUCAAUGGUACAUAUAAUUAUGAACAUGUGAUGUCGCCUUUAGAGUUCUAAAAGUCUGCAUGAUACGUGUGGUAGAUGUAAUUUCAGAAAGUGUGAGAUGCCAAAGCCUAAUUUUUCACUGAUAAAUCGGAAUUUUAUUGAAUCCAAUCACAGAGAGAAAUUGUGGCUAAAUUGAUUUUUUUUUAAAAGGCCAGCACUAGCAGAAUAGUCAAGUCCUAAGUCAGUGAUAGAAAUAUUCACCUGAUCUGCAGGCCUUGUUACAGCAGGGGAGACUGAUGUUCCAGAAAUCAAAGCAGAGCCAGAAAGGAUAUCUUUAAGAGUGCCGCUGAUCCCAAGAAGAAGUAGUGUUUU
RNAcentral lists this long non-coding RNA (11025 nucleotides) under Zea mays. RNAcentral's name for it is "long non-coding RNA (ZMAY_LNC003072)". The record is from RNAcentral. Lineage: Eukaryota; Viridiplantae; Streptophyta; Magnoliopsida; Poales; Poaceae.